ACGCGCAAACACAAUCCACUUCAUAUUCCCGACGACUUUCUCUCCGCCGAACGUGUACAGAAACGCUUAACACCAAAGCGCAGCUGCGGUGAUUUCGCAACCGACCGUUCUUGUUCCCCGGACACACGCCAACAACGAUAUAUCAUCGUAACACAUUUUUUUUUUCCCGUCCGGUUAGAUUGCGCUCCUAGUGUUCCAAAGAAACUACCGGUUUGAAUGCGUGCUUCCGUCCACGCUCUGCAGGGAAAAGUUCUUUUUCUGUUCCGUUCCGAAUUAUCGUUCG
Non-coding RNA from Cinara cedri, 283 nucleotides. The record is from the annotation of a GenBank genome assembly. Lineage: Eukaryota; Metazoa; Arthropoda; Insecta; Hemiptera; Aphididae.